Molecule: ribosomal RNA, 443 nt
Filed under: uncultured bacterium
Lineage: Bacteria
Description: partial 16S ribosomal RNA
Rfam family: Bacterial small subunit ribosomal RNA
Source: RNAcentral
CCUACGGGUGGCAGCAGUGGGGAAUAUUGGUCAAUGGGCGCAAGCCUGACCCAGCAACGCCGCGUGAAGGAAGAAGGCUUUCGGGUUUUAAACUUCUUUUCUGAGGGACGUAGAAAGUGACGGUACCUCACGAAUAAGCACCGGCUAACUCCGUGCCAGCAGCCGCUGUAAUACGGAGGGUGCAAUCGUUACUCGGAAUCACUGGGCGUAAAGCUUGCGCAGGCGGGCUGUUAAGUCAGAUGUGAAAUCCUGUAGCUUAACUACAGAACUGCAUUUGAAACUAUGAGUCUAGAGUGUGGGGUAGGUAGGUGGAAUUCUUGGUGUAGGGGUAAAAUCCGUAGAUAUCAAGAGGAAUACUCAUGGCGAAGGCGACCUACUGGAACAUUACUGACGCUCAUGCACGAAAGCGUGGGGAGCAAACAGGAUUAGAUACCCUUGUAGUC